Molecule: ribosomal RNA, 259 nt
Filed under: uncultured bacterium
Lineage: Bacteria
Description: partial 16S ribosomal RNA
Rfam family: Bacterial small subunit ribosomal RNA
Source: RNAcentral
CAGGUACAGAGGGAUGCUACCGGGCGACCGGACGCGGAUCUCGAAAGCCUGUCCCAGUUCGGACUGGAGUCUGCAACCCGACUCCACGAAGUUGGAUUCGCUAGUAAUCGCGCAUCAGCCAUGGCGCGGUGAAUACGUUCCCGGGCCUUGUACACACCGCCCCGUCAAGCCAUGGGAGCCGGGGGCGCCUGAAGUCCGGGACCGCGAGGACCGGCCUAGGGCGAAACUGGUAACUGGGGCUAAGUCGUAACAAGGUACC